RNAcentral lists this transfer RNA (54 nucleotides) under Protostrongylus rufescens. RNAcentral describes it as "tRNA-Tyr". The record is from RNAcentral. Lineage: Eukaryota; Metazoa; Nematoda; Chromadorea; Rhabditida; Metastrongylidae.
AAGAAUUUAUUUUAUGUAAAAUAUUAGAUUGUAAAUCUAAAGUAUUAAUUCUUG